Molecule: ribosomal RNA, 253 nt
Filed under: uncultured bacterium
Lineage: Bacteria
Description: partial 16S ribosomal RNA
Rfam family: Bacterial small subunit ribosomal RNA
Source: RNAcentral
UACAGAGGUCUCAAGCGUUGUUCGGAUUCAUUGGGCGUAAAGGGUGCGUAGGCGGCGCGGUAAGUCGGGUGUGAAAUUUCGGAGCUUAACUCCGAAACUGCAUUCGGUACUGCCGUGCUUGAGGACUGGAGAGGAGACUGGAAUUUACGGUGUAGCGGUGAAAUGCGUAGAUAUCGUAAGGAAGACCAGUGGCGAAGGCGGGUCUCUGGACAGUUCCUGACGCUGAGGCACGAAGGCCAGGGGAGCAAACGGG